RNAcentral lists this ribosomal RNA (710 nucleotides) under Roseovarius sp. RNAcentral's name for it is "bacterial SSU rRNA". It matches the Rfam family "Bacterial small subunit ribosomal RNA", at positions 38 to 795 of the family's 1533-position model. The record is from RNAcentral. Lineage: Bacteria; Pseudomonadati; Pseudomonadota; Alphaproteobacteria; Rhodobacterales; Roseobacteraceae.
CGCGAUGGGGCAGCUACCAUGCAGUCGAGCGAGAACUUCGGUUCUAGCGGCGGACGGGUUAGUAACGCGUGGGAACGUGCCCUUCACUACGGAAUAGUCCCGGGAAACUGGGUUUAAUACCGUAUACGCCCUUCGGGGGAAAGAAUUUCGGUGAAGGAUCGGCCCGCGUUAGAUUAGAUAGUUGGUGGGGUAACGGCCUACCAAGUCUACGAUCUAUAGCUGGUUUUAGAGGAUGAUCAGCAACACUGGGACUGAGACACGGCCCAGACUCCUACGGGAGGCAGCAGUGGGGAAUCUUAGACAAUGGGCGCAAGCCUGAUCUAGCCAUGCCGCGUGAGUGAUGAAGGCCUUAGGGUCGUAAAGCUCUUUCGCCAGGGAUGAUAAUGACAGUACCUGGUAAAGAAACCCCGGCUAACUCCGUGCCAGCAGCCGCGGUAAUACGGAGGGGGUUAGCGUUGUUCGGAAUUACUGGGCGUAAAGCGCGCGUAGGCGGAUUGGAAAGUUGGGGGUGAAAUCCCAGGGCUCAACCCUGGAACUGCCUCCAAAACUAUCAGUCUAGAGUUCGAGAGAGGUGAGUGGAACUCCGAGUGUAGAGGUGAAAUUCGUAGAUAUUCGGAAGAACACCAGUGGCGAAGGCGGCUCACUGGCUCGAUACUGACGCUGAGGUGCGAAAGUGUGGGGAGCAAACAGGAUUAGAUACCCUGGUAGUC